RNAcentral lists this ribosomal RNA (264 nucleotides) under uncultured archaeon. Its description in RNAcentral is "partial 16S ribosomal RNA". It matches the Rfam family "Archaeal small subunit ribosomal RNA", at positions 717 to 982 of the family's 1478-position model. The record is from RNAcentral.
AGACGUCUACAUUAGAUACCCGCGUAGUCCCAGCCGUAAACUAUGCGCGCUAGGUGUAUCGGUGACCACGAGUCACCGAGGUGCCGAAGGGAAACCGUGAAACGUGCCGCCUGGGAAGUACGGUCGCAAGGCUGAAACUUAAAGGAAUUGGCGGGGAGCACCACAACGGGUGGAGCCUGCGGUUUAAUUGGACUCAACGCCGGGAAGCUCACCGGAUAAGACAGCGGAAUGAUUGCCGGGCUGAAGACUCUGCAUGACUAGCUG